AAUGAACGCUGGCGGCAGGCCUAACACAUGCAAGUCGAACGCACCGCAAGGUGAGUGGCAGACGGGUGAGUAACGCGUGGGAACCUUCCCUUUGGUUCAGGAUAGCCCCGGGAAACUGGGAUUAAUACUGGAUAAGAUCUACGGAUGAAAGAUUUACCGCCGAAGGAUGGGCCCGGGUAAGAUUAGCUAGUUGGUGAGGUAAUGGCUCACCAAGGCUUUGAUCUUUAGCUGGUCUGAGAGGAUGAUCAGCCACACUGGAACGGAGACACGGUCCAGACUCCUACGGGAGGCAGCAGUGAGGAAUAUUGGACAAUGGGCGCAAGCCUGAUCCAGCCAUGCCGCGUGAGUGAUGAAGGCCUUAGGGUUGUAAAACUCUUUUAGUGGGGAAAAUAAUGAUGGUACCCACAGAAAAAGCUCCGGCUAACUUCGUGCCAGCCGCCGCGGUAA
This 447-nucleotide ribosomal RNA is filed under the name uncultured bacterium. RNAcentral's name for it is "partial 16S ribosomal RNA". It matches the Rfam family "Bacterial small subunit ribosomal RNA", at positions 29 to 523 of the family's 1533-position model. The record is from RNAcentral.